RNA transcript from Nerophis ophidion (straightnose pipefish), 2168 nucleotides. It is a transcript of the gene named neurogenic differentiation factor 2-like, with no coding region annotated. The record is from RefSeq and is a predicted model, not a curated record. The transcript is spliced from 4 exons. Lineage: Eukaryota; Metazoa; Chordata; Actinopteri; Syngnathiformes; Syngnathidae.
AGAAAUUAUAUUAAUUUAGAGGGCGGUAGGACCCUGGGGGUGCUUAUUUGAGGGGAUGCCUUCACCUGUCCUGUCGAUGAAAGUAUAACACAAGCAAUGGUGGAAAAAGUGUGAUUUUUUUUUGUAAGGUACACCCAUUAUCUCCUGUGCAAGGAGCUGCAACAGCCAAGUAUGCCCCUGCAAAGCGCCCGGUGACAGAUGGCGAGUUCUUCUCUCCCCCACCACCGCCGCCACCACCACCCCACCCACCCCAGGGGGAAAGCCAGUCUCUGUGAAUGCGGCCGCAUGUCAAUCACGGGCUCUCAUGUGAUGGCUCUUGCCAAUGACGUGCCAGCCAUAUGGGCCUGGCAUCACAGCCUGCUAUGCAAGUCACCCGUGCAGUCCUCCCUCCACGCGUCUGGGUCUGCAGACAGAGGCAGGGUGGCCGCAGAGGAGGAGGAGGAGGAGGAGGAAAGAGUAGAGGGAGGGAAGGUAGGCGAGAGCGGAACACACACACAGCAAAGAUCCGCCUCGCAGAACGCAUCGCCACCGCGCCCGGAGAGAGAUGGUGUAAACAAACCUCAGUCAUGCACAUUUUGCAGGAACAAAAGCGGAUUUAUUUGUGAAAUAGAGAAAUAUGAGUGUAACAGCAGGUCUGUGGGGGUUGAACUCUCCUCUGGGAUGCAUGCAUGAUAAUUGACAAGAUAUAUGCUGGCAUUAAUUACUUUAUGCUGAGGAUAUCAGGUAGCGGGGGGGAUGGAAGUGCACACUGGAGAGCAUCUCUUCAGAGAGUUGGCUUUAUAUUAAUUUAAUUUAAAUGAAAUGAUGUCAGAUGAUUUGUUUGCUAAUUGCGCAGACAAACAACUUGUGUUCCUCAUUCCUGCUUUUGAGGCACAAAUGACCUUCAGGAUUAAUAUUUUAAACACAUCCUCUAAGUCAUGGGUGUCCAAACUUUCCACCCAGAAUAUAUUUUUAUUUUAUUUUAUAAUUGUUUUAUUUUUUUCUAAUUACAUAUAAAGACCAAGCUUCAUGUUACUAUUAUUAUUAGAAGCAACAUUUAAGCUUUUUUGUUCUAUAUCUUUUGUUUGAUUUUAUUUCUGUACAAUGUGCCUUGAGCCAAUAAUAAAAAAGAACUCCCUGGGCCACUCUUUGGACACCCCUGUUUCAAAAGUUCCCCUCAUUUAUGGCAUAUUCUCAAGUAUCAUGUGGUCCACUUUUGUGGCUGUGGGCAACAGACUCAUUUAUUUGUCGCCACCCUAAACUACCACCAGGGACCUUUUCUCAGCGGCCCGGCGGCGCUCCUGCACGGGCCACACGGAACCAAACUGUUAAAAGGUUUAGAUUAAAAACGAUAUGGAUACGCACCAGCAAAAACAUCAGGUACAUCUGUAAAAGGCAAGUGUGCCCCAUUUGUCUACCUGCAGUGAGAAUGUGUGAGUUUAUUGAAAAAGGGGUUCAAAUUAAUUAAAUAUGAUAAUAAAUUACAUAUAUUUCAAGAAAAAUACUUUUUUUUCUCUCUGUAUAUUAUAUUUUGUUGCUCUUUUACCCCUUUUUUUAAUAUUUGCUUUAAUCAGUUAUUUUUAAUAGUGAUGUAAUCUUUCAAAUGUGCUGCUAGGCAAUAAAAAAUGAGCUGCAAGCCUAAAAUGGCCCCUGUGCUACACUUUGGAGCACCCCUUUAAAUUCAAACUUUAUUUCUAUAGCACAUAAAAAAAUACAAGUACAGAAACAGUUAAUAAUCAAUACAGCAAAAUGCAAAAAUAAAAGUGUUUUCUUUAUCUGUGUUAUAUGGGUGUGAAUCUUUGGACACUUAAUGGUUUGAUCUGAUUCCUGGGAUGGUGAUUCGAUUCAUAAUCGAUUCACGAGUCAACACGAGUUUCGAUUCAAAUAGACUCUCGAAAUAUAAUGACAUUUUUAAAAACAGGUUACAGGUAAGAAAUACUCCUGGUUGCUUAAAAAUGGUCAAAAAACUUUUUUUUUAAAAAGGGAUUCUGUAAGCUAAAGAAAUAUAUAUUUAUUUUUUUAAAUCAAUUUUUUUAAACGUAUGAAAUAUUUCAAUCAAAUUUUUUGUGCACCACAUGUUGAAAUCCAGCAAAGUUUGGAGCUGCAUCAAAAUGCCACCUCCGAUGAUUUGCAUUUUUGUUGACAUAUCUAAAAUAUUCCGAUCACUCAUUAGGUCAGUGGUUCUCAAA